This 450-nucleotide ribosomal RNA is filed under the name uncultured bacterium. RNAcentral describes it as "partial 16S ribosomal RNA". It matches the Rfam family "Bacterial small subunit ribosomal RNA", at positions 354 to 796 of the family's 1533-position model. The record is from RNAcentral.
GUGGGGAAUUUUGGACAAUGGGCGCAAGCCUGAUCCAGCAAUGCCGCGUGCAGGAAGAAGGCCUUCGGGUUGUAAACUGCUUUUGUACGGAACGAAACGGUCCGGGUUAAUACCCUGGGCUAAUGACGGUACCGUAAGAAUAAGCACCGGCUAACUACGUGCCAGCAGCCGCGGUAAUACGUAGGGUGCAAGCGUUAAUCGGAAUUACUGGGCGUAAAGCGUGCGCAGGCGGUUUUGUAAGACAGGCGUGAAAUCCCCGGGCUCAACCUGGGAAUUGCGCUUGUGACUGCAAGGCUGGAGUGCGGCAGAGGGGGAUGGAAUUCCGCGUGUAGCAGUGAAAUGCGUAGAUAUGCGGAGGAACACCGAUGGCGAAGGCAAUCCCCUGGGCCUGCACUGACGCUCAUGCACGAAAGCGUGGGGAGCAAUCAGGAUUAGAAACCCUGGUAGUCC